Molecule: non-coding RNA, 45 nt
Organism: Schistosoma curassoni
Lineage: Eukaryota; Metazoa; Platyhelminthes; Trematoda; Strigeidida; Schistosomatidae
Source: Rfam
UUCCAGAUGACAUGUCUCAAAUAGGACGAAACGCGCGUCCUGGAU